UCCGACUUCAUGGGGUCGAGUUGCAGACCCCAAUCCGAACUGAGACCGGCUUUUUGGGAUUCGCUCCACCUUACGGUAUCGCAGCCCUCUGUACCGGCCAUUGUAGCAUGCGUGAAGCCCAAGACAUAAGGGGCAUGAUGAUUUGACGUCAUCCCCACCUUCCUCCGAGUUGACCCCGGCAGUCUCCCAUGAGUCCCCGGCAUAACCCGCUGGCAACAUAGGACGAGGGUUGCGCUCGUUGCGGGACUUAACCCAACAUCUCACGACACGAGCUGACGACAACCAUGCACCACCUGUGUACGAGUGUCCAAAGAGAACCCCGUCUCGGGGGCUUUCUCGUACAUGUCAAGCCUUGGUAAGGUUCUUCGCGUUGCAUCGAAUUAAUCCGCAUGCUCCGCCGCUUGUGCGGGCCCCCGUCAAUUCCUUUGAGUUUUAGCCUUGCGGCCGUACUCCCCAGGCGGGGCACUUAAUGCGUUAGCUGCGGCACGGAACUCGUGGAAUGAGCCCCACACCUAGUGCCCAACGUUUACGGCAUGGACUACCAGGGUAUCUAAUCCUGUUCGCUCCCCAUGCUUUCGCUCCUCAGCGUCAGUUGCGGCCCAGAGACCUGCCUUCGCCAUCGGUGUUCCUCCUGAUAUCUGCGCAUUCCACCGCUACACCAGGAAUUCCAGUCUCCCCUACCGCACUCUAGUCUGCCCGUACCCGAUGCAAGCCCGAGGUUGAGCCUCGGGAUUUCACACCAGACGCGACAGACCGCCUACGAGCUCUUUACGCCCAAUAAUUCCGGACAACGCUUGCGCCCUACGUAUUACCGCGGCUGCUGGCACGUAGUUAGCCGGCGCUUCUUCUGCAGGUACCGUCACUUGCGCUUCUUCCCUGCUGAAAGAGGUUUACAACCCGAAGGCCGUCAUCCCUCACGCGGCGUCGCUGCAUCAGGCUUGCGCCCAUUGUGCAAUAUUCCCCACUGCUGCCUCCCGUAGGAGUCUGGGCCGUGUCUCAGUCCCAGUGUGGCCGGUCGCCCUCUCAGGCCGGCUACCCGUCGACGCCUUGGUAGGCCAUCACCCCACCAACAAGCUGAUAGGCCGCGAGCCCAUCCCCCACCGAAAAACUUUCCAACCCACACCAUGCGAUGCGAGCUCAUAUCCGGUAUUAGACCCCGUUUCCAAGGCUUAUCCCGAAGUGGAGGGCAGGUUGCUCACGUGUUACUCACCCGUUCGCCACUGAUCCACCCAGCAAGCUGGGCUUCAC
RNAcentral lists this ribosomal RNA (1248 nucleotides) under uncultured bacterium. RNAcentral's name for it is "partial 16S ribosomal RNA". The record is from RNAcentral.